ACGCUAGCUAUAGGCUUAACACAUGCAAGUCGAGGGGAAACGGCAUUAUGUGCUUGCACAUUUUGGACGUCGACCGGCGCACGGGUGAGUAUCGCGUAUCCAACCUGCCCUUUACUUGGGGAUACCCCGUUGAAAGACGGCCUAAUACCCGAUGUAAUUCAUUGAUGGCAUCAGAUAUGAAUAAAAGAUUUAUCGGUAAAGGAUGGGGAUGCGUCUGAUUAGCUUGUUGGUGAGGUAACGGCUCACCAAGGCAACGAUCAGUAGGGGUUCUGAGAGGAAGGUCCCCCACAUUGGAACUGAGACACGGUCCACACUCCUACGGGAGGCAGCAGUGAGGAAUAUUGGUCAAUGGGCGCAAGCCUGAACCAGCCAAGUAGCGUGCAGGAAGACGGCCCUAUGGGUUGUAAACUGCUUUUAUACGAGAAUAAUUUGAUGCACGUGUGCGUUAUUGCAUGUAUCGUAUGAAUAAGGACCGGCUAAUUCCGUGCCAGCAGCCGCGGUAAUACGGAAGGUCCAGGCGUUAUCCGGAUUUAUUGGGUUUAAAGGGAGUGUAGGCGGUUUGUUAAGCGUGUUGUGAAAUUUAGAUGCUCAACAUUUAACUUGCAGCGCGAACUGUCAGACUUGAGUACACGCAACGUAUGCGGAAUUCAUGGUGUAGCGGUGAAAUGCUUAGAUAUCAUGAAGAACUCCGAUUGCGAAGGCAGCAUACGGGAGUGUAACUGACGCUUAAGCUCGAAGGUGCGGGUAUCGAACAGGAUUAGAUACCCUGGUAGUCCGCACAGUAAACAAUGGAUGCCCGCUGUUAGCGCCUGGCGUUAGCGGCUAAGCGAAAGCAUUAAGCAUCCCACCUGGGGAGUACGCCGGCAACGGUGAAACUCAAAGGAAUUGACGGGGGCCCGCACAA
RNAcentral lists this ribosomal RNA (904 nucleotides) under uncultured bacterium. Its description in RNAcentral is "bacterial SSU rRNA". It matches the Rfam family "Bacterial small subunit ribosomal RNA", at positions 33 to 928 of the family's 1533-position model. The record is from RNAcentral.